GGCUACACAGUCAUUUCAAGCCAGAACUCCAUAGUGAAAGCCUGUCUCAAAAAAAACAGAACAAAACCAAAAUCUACUGCAGCAGUAAUGUUUCCCUUGGUUUGGUCAGAAGGUACAGCUAGUCCUCUGCUCUUGAAAUUCAAAAAGCUGUGACCAGUCACACAGGAAAGGACCAUCAGUCACGGAAAGGUAAUUGGGGAAAAGAAGAUACCCAAGAAGAGAGAACUGCAAUUUACGCGGCUGCUGGGCUCUAAAGUUACUGCUUUCUAUCCAGGACCAUAUUUCAAUUUUGCCGUAUCCCAUGAUACAGUGGUUAUUCUGCCUGACAGCAGAGAACAGAGAUUCAGAGAAGGCACUCAGCCAAGCUGGAUUCAAGCCCUGCCUCCAUGCAAAAAUAGAACAGGCACCAUUCCACAUGUUUUCCUUGACCUAAAAUGAAAUCUCAAAAGGGUAUAGUAGUGAUGGCAAAACUUUUAGAACUUUCCAUGAUCCGAACAGCCCAUUGCAGCGUGAGUGCCAUAGCUUUGCCACCACUAGUAUAGAGCAAAGGGGAUAUCACAAAGCUUUGUGACCCUCUGAUCUGGGUUCUCAGAAAGAACUUUCCCAUCACCUCUAACCACGAAGCCAAUUCUGAGGUCAUUCAGCAACCCUCUCUCCCCCGGAUAGAUUCAAUCUUUGCAAGACUGCCAUUGACUGCCUUGCCUGGGAGGAGCAAGGUGGACAGGGCCUUGAAAUACUGACAGUAGACUCUGGUAACAAAGUCUUUUUUGUGGUCAGGACAACAGAGGGUCUGUUGCCAUGUUCCCAGAGCAUGGCAACUCCUUCUGGAGAAGCCCCAGCUUCCAAUAGGUGGGGAGGAAAGCGCCAGCACUAGCAGGGCUAAGCUGUCAUCCUAGGACAGAUCUGAGACCAGAUCUGCUUUAUACUGAGGACAGACUGGAUUAAAGGAAGAUGAUGAAGAUAAAGUAGGAGGAGAAGACUGGCAGCAGUGUGGAAAGACUAAGAGGGGAGAAAUGGGGAUGGGUCAAGCCUAUAUUAAAAGGAGACACUAGAGACUGAGAUACAGCUCAGUGCUGCAACACUAGCCUAGAACAUGUGAGGCCUUCAUUCUAUCUCAGGCGCACACUCCCUCCCACAGAGAGAGACAGAAGGAGCAAACCCCGCUUCCUGCACAUACAAGGCAAUUGCUCUACUGCUGAGCUGCACCCCCAGGCUGAUGAGUUAAUUAUUUUGCCUGAUAAUUUACAUCUUCUUGGCCUCUUCCUUAGGUCUUACCUCUCAGGCCUUCAGAACCCAAGGUAGGACUUUGUGAAAUUUUUUUAGUAUUGAGUAAUAAAAUGCAAAAUGUGAGUAACAAUGCAGACUUACAUUUCAAAGAUUCUUUCAUGAGAGAAAGCGGGUAGAGGAGACUGCACUAGAACAGGUGACUCCAAGUCCCAGCUCUGGGGCUAAAACAAGUUCCUUUCCCUUUCUGAGCUUUAGUACUUCUGCCUGUAGAUGAGGGCAGUAAAACUCUUGGAUAGGGUGAUCUCUUUCUGAUAUAGGACAAUGUGUGAGCCCGUGGUGGCAAGGCUCUGAUUAACAGUAUCUUCACUGCCCUUCCAUGUGGGCCCAAAGCAGUGGUGCUAAAGCACAGGAGCAGAAAGAGCCCUGUGCUUUCUCCCAGGAGCAGCAGGGCCUGAAGCGGGUGGGAUGGGGAGAGGCCAAGGGUCCCCGUGACUGCCCAAGCAAAUCCCAGA
Long non-coding RNA from Chinchilla lanigera (long-tailed chinchilla), 1739 nucleotides. RefSeq lists it as uncharacterized. The record is from RefSeq and is a predicted model, not a curated record. The transcript is spliced from 3 exons. NCBI's taxonomy places the organism in Eukaryota, Metazoa, Chordata, Mammalia, Rodentia, Chinchillidae.